RNAcentral lists this ribosomal RNA (514 nucleotides) under uncultured bacterium. RNAcentral's name for it is "partial 16S ribosomal RNA". It matches the Rfam family "Bacterial small subunit ribosomal RNA", at positions 28 to 523 of the family's 1533-position model. The record is from RNAcentral.
GAUGAACGCUGGCGGCGUGCCUAAUACAUGCAAGUCGAGCGAACAGAUGAGAAGCUUGCUUCUCUGAUGUUAGCGGCGGACGGGUGAGUAACACGUGGGUAACCUACCUAUAAGACUGGGAUAACUCCGGGAAACCGGGGCUAAUACCGGAUAAUAUUUUGAACCGCAUGGUUCAAUAGUGAAAGACGGUUUCGGCUGUCACUUAUAGAUGGAACCGCGCCGUAUUAGCUAGUUGGUAAGGUAACGGCUUACCAGGGCGACGAUACGUAGCCGACCUGGGAGGGUGAUCGGCCACACUGGAACUGAGACACGGUCCAGACUCCUACGGGAGGCAGCAGUAGGGAAUCUUCCGCAGUGGGCGAAAGCCUGACGGAGCAACGCCGCGUGAGUGAUGAAGGUCUUCGGAUCGUAAAACUCUGUUGUUAGGGAAGAACAAAUUUGUUAGUAACUGAACAAGUCUUGACGGUACCUAACCAGAAAGCCACGGCUAACUACGUGCCAGCAGCCGCCGUAA